AUUUUUCUUGUUGUUAUUGUUGUUGUUAUUGUUUCCGUUGUUGAUAUUGUUCUUGUUCUUGUUGUUGUUGAUAUUGUUCUUGUUGUUGUUGUUGAUAUUGUUCUUGUUGUUGUUGUUGUUGUUGUUUUUCUUGUUGUUAUUGUUGUUGUUUCCGUUAUUGAUGUUGUUGUUGUUUCUAUCGUUGACAUUGUUAUUGUUGUUGUGGUUUUUGAGACUUAAGGUAUAA
Molecule: long non-coding RNA, 226 nt
Filed under: Lathyrus oleraceus (garden pea)
Lineage: Eukaryota; Viridiplantae; Streptophyta; Magnoliopsida; Fabales; Fabaceae
Description: Pisum sativum (pea) long non-coding RNA (PSAT_LNC037648)
Source: RNAcentral